GCUCAAGCAUUCUGGAUUUUGUUUGUACUCUUCUAGUCUUCUUUGUACCAAAUGGGUUUCUUUUUUCUAAAUCUCUGUUUCAAUGUUUUGGGGAUUAAGUUUAUUGAUUUUACUAAUAGAUUUUAUAUUAAAAAUUUUGGGGGACUGUUUACUGUUGGAUUUUAUAUUAUCAAAUUUUGUGGGACUUUUGGAAUUGUUAUGGCAUAUAGCCUAUGGGCUUGAUGCUUGAUGAUUGUUCUUCUAUGGUGGUGAUUGGUGAAUUUUGGGGUACUGUUUACUGGC
RNAcentral lists this long non-coding RNA (282 nucleotides) under Panax ginseng (ginseng). Its description in RNAcentral is "long non-coding RNA (PGIN_LNC007312)". Lineage: Eukaryota; Viridiplantae; Streptophyta; Magnoliopsida; Apiales; Araliaceae. The record is from RNAcentral.